CAAUUUUUGACAAUAGCACACGGAGUUGUCAGAAAUCUAUGGAUUUCCAAAACGCCCUAUUUCCUUCUUCCGUGCUCCUCUAAUCUGACUCAACUGAAAAUCCCAAAAGAAAAGUCAAACAGACAGACAGACAGACAGACGUCUUCCAUAAAUAAAAUUCAGGAAAAAAAAAAAGGAAAGAAGAAAGAAAUUGUAAUAAUGAUGAGGAAAGGAAGGAACAUAUUUGGAGGACGUCAUCAUCAACAAGGAAAAAGGUCAUCAUCAUCAUCAAUGAUGACGGCAUUAGUCUUAUCAAUGCUUUUAAUGCUUACUAUUGUCCUUCUUGUUCUUUUAUCUCUUGGCAUCUUUUCUCUCCCCGUCGGCGAUGCUUCCGGCGACUACACUCACAUCACUUUCAAACGCAAACGAUUACUUGUGGGUGAUGUUGAUGAAUUGGCAAAGCGAGGAGAUCAGUGGACUGAGAUUCUAUCCUGGGAGCCUAGAGCCUUUUUAUAUCACAAUUUUUUGUCCAAGGGAGAGUGUGACUAUUUAAUAAAUCUUGCAAAGCCUCACAUGGCAAAGUCAACAGUUGUUGAUAGCAAGACUGGUCAGAGUAAAGAUAGCAGAGUGCGUACAAGCUCAGGAACAUUUUUGAGGAGGGGAAGAGAUAAAAUCAUACGGACUAUAGAGAAAAGGAUAGCAGACUUCUCAUUUAUUCCUGUAGAGCAUGGAGAAGGACUGCAAGUGCUCCACUAUGAAGAAGGACAAAAAUACGAGCCUCACUUUGAUUACUUCCUUGAUGAGUUCAAUACCAAAAAUGGAGGCCAACGAAUUGCUACAGUUCUUAUGUAUUUGUCAGAUGUCGAGGAAGGGGGGGAGACAGUUUUCCCUGCUGCUCAAGGAAAUUAUAGCUCUGAGCCUGGGUGGGAUAAUUUGUCCGAGUGUGCUAAAAGGGGUAUUCAUGUGAAACCAAAAAUGGGUGAUGCAUUACUUUUCUGGAGCAUGAGGCCCGAUGCAACAUUGGAUCCAAGUAGUUUGCAUGGUGGUUGUCCUGUGAUUAAAGGAAAUAAAUGGUCUGCUACAAAGUGGAUGCAUGUUGAAGAGUACAAAAUAUAAGUUUUCCAAAAGGCGACUACGAUGAGGACUCACCAAUCUGCCACUAGUGCUAAACGAAGACUCGGAAGCAACAGUUGUUAUAGGAAUUGCUAAUAUAUCACGAGCAAUUCUUUGAAGUAUUGGGUACUUCACGCCAUUUAUCUUCCACCAAGCUAGUAUAUCGAGAUCGAUAUCUGGUGGACAAACUUUCUCUUUAAGCACAUAAAUGCAAGUUGAGCCUGUGGUGGUUUUUCAAGCUGCCAUGUAACAUAUAACAUGAGUUGGUUUCUUAUCAUAAUUGUGGAAUGGGGAACGGGUCGAUAGCUGUAGGUUAUAGGUGUGCUUUUCAUCCCCUUCGGAAAUGAUAACAAGCUUUGUGUUACAAAGAAAGUCAAUAUAUUACAACGGUGAAGUGAGUUACAUAUAACAGAUUGUCAUGAAAACUGGUGAGAAUAGUAAAGUUUUUUCCUCUCCUUUUUAGUACUAGGUAGGCGUUUUUAUGAAGCAAAUCACAGUUGUAUCGUGUUCUUGUCUUCCAAGGCGAGUUUGUUUCAUUGUAAGUAUUUAUGUACGUUCAUUGUUUUGAAACACAGAUCAUUUAUGCACAAGGGUUUACUUCAGAAUGAUUA
RNA transcript from Erigeron canadensis, 1703 nucleotides. It is a transcript of the gene named probable prolyl 4-hydroxylase 3, with no coding region annotated. NCBI's taxonomy places the organism in Eukaryota, Viridiplantae, Streptophyta, Magnoliopsida, Asterales, Asteraceae. The transcript is spliced from 9 exons. The record is from RefSeq and is a predicted model, not a curated record.